GCCCUGCCCUCCCUUCCCCUGCU
This 23-nucleotide microRNA is filed under the name Monodelphis domestica (gray short-tailed opossum). RNAcentral's name for it is "mdo-miR-12321-3p". The record is from miRBase by way of RNAcentral. Lineage: Eukaryota; Metazoa; Chordata; Mammalia; Didelphimorphia; Didelphidae.